RNAcentral lists this ribosomal RNA (508 nucleotides) under uncultured bacterium. RNAcentral's name for it is "partial 16S ribosomal RNA". It matches the Rfam family "Bacterial small subunit ribosomal RNA", at positions 28 to 523 of the family's 1533-position model. The record is from RNAcentral.
GAUGAACGCUAGCUACAGGCUUAACACAUGCAAGUCGAGGGGAAACGAUAGAGAAGGCUUGCUUUUUCUUGGCGUCGACCGGCGCACGGGUGAGUAACGCGUAUCCAACCUGCCCACCACUUGGGAAUAACCUUGCGAAAGUAAGACUAAUACCCAAUGAUAUCUCUAGAAGACAUCUGAAGGAGAUUAAAGAUUUAUCGGUGCUGGAUGGGGAUGCUUCUGAUUAACUCGGUGGCGGGGUAACGGCCCACCAAGGCGACGAUCAGUAGGGGUUCUGAGAGGAAGGUCCCCCACAUUGGAACUGAGACACGGUCCAAACUCCUACGGGAGGCAGCAGUGAGGAAUAGUGGUCAAUGGGCGAGAGCCUGAACCAGCCAAGUAGCGUGCAGGAUGACGGCCCUAUGGGUUGUAAACUGCUUUUAUAAGGGAAUAAAGUGAGCCUCGUGAGGCUUUUUGCAUGUACCUUAUGAAUAAGGACCGGCUAACUCCGUGCCAGCCGCCGCGGUAA